GGAAACUCUGAUGCAGCCAUGCCGCGUGCAGGAUGACGGCCCUACGGGUUGUAAACUGCUUUUUUACAAGAAGAAACCUUGGUACGUGUACCAACUUGACGGUAUUGUAAGAAUAAGCACCGGCUAACUCCGUGCCAGCAGCCGCGGUAAUACGGAGGGUGCAAGCGUUAUCCGGAUUUAUUAGGUUUAAAGGGUUCGCAGGCGGAAUUUUAAGUCAGUGGUGAAAGCCUAUAGCUCAACUAUAGAACUGCCACUGAUACUGAUAUUCUUGAGUGUAGAUGAAGUGGGCGGAAUAUGUCAUGUAGCGGUGAAAUGCAUAGAUAUGACAUGGAACACCAAUUGCGAAGGCAGCUCACUAAACUAUUACUGACGCUCAUGAACGAAAGCAUGGGGAGCGAACAGGAUUAGAUACCCUGGUAGUCCAUGCUGUAAACUAUGAUCACUAGAUGUUGGCGAUAUAUUGUCAGUGUUUAAGAGAAAUCGUUAAGUGAUCCACCUGGGGAGUACGUU
RNAcentral lists this ribosomal RNA (510 nucleotides) under uncultured Bacteroidota bacterium. RNAcentral describes it as "bacterial SSU rRNA". It matches the Rfam family "Bacterial small subunit ribosomal RNA", at positions 376 to 886 of the family's 1533-position model. The record is from RNAcentral. Lineage: Bacteria; Pseudomonadati; Bacteroidota.